AACGAACGCUGGCGGCAUGCCUAACACAUGCAAGUCGAACGAGACCUUCGGGUCUAGUGGCGCACGGGUGCGUAACGCGUGGGAACCUGCCCUUAGGUUCGGAAUAACUCCCCGAAAGGGGUGCUAAUACCGGAUAAUGUCUUCGGACCAAAGAUUUAUCGCCUUUGGAUGGGCCCGCGUUGGAUUAGCUAGUUGGUAGGGUAAAAGCCUACCAAGGCGACGAUCCAUAGCUGGUCUGAGAGGAUGAUCAGCCACACUGGGACUGAGACACGGCCCAGACUCCUACGGGAGGCAGCAGGGGGGAAUAUUGGACAAUGGGCGAAGGCCUGAUCCAGCAAUGCCGCGUGAGUGAUGAAGGCCUUAGGGUUGUAAGGCUCUUUACCCGGGAUGAUAAUGACAGUACCGGGAGAAUAAGCUCCGGCUAACUCCGUG
RNAcentral lists this ribosomal RNA (432 nucleotides) under uncultured bacterium. RNAcentral's name for it is "partial 16S ribosomal RNA". It matches the Rfam family "Bacterial small subunit ribosomal RNA", at positions 29 to 507 of the family's 1533-position model. The record is from RNAcentral.